Cordylochernes scorpioides is the source of this 70-nucleotide non-coding RNA. NCBI's taxonomy places the organism in Eukaryota, Metazoa, Arthropoda, Arachnida, Pseudoscorpiones, Chernetidae. The record is from the annotation of a GenBank genome assembly.
UGCAUCGGCCGGGAAUCGAACCCAUUGGCAGGCGUGACAGGCGAGCAUUCUACCACUGAACCACCGAUGG